AUUGAACGCUGGCGGCAGGCCUAACACAUGCAAGUCGAGCGAGCGGCGGACGGGUGAGUAAUGUCUGGGAAACUGCCUGAUGGAGGGGGAUAACUACUGGAAACGGUAGCUCAUACCGCAUACCAUCAGAGGUGCCCAUAUGGGCUUAGCUAGUAGGUGGGGUAAUGGCUCACCUAGGCGACGAUCCCUAGCUGGUCUGAGAGGAUGAACAGCCACACUGGAACUGAGACACGGGCCAGACUCCUACGUGAGGCAGCAGUGGGGAAUAUUGCACAAUGGGCGCAAGCCUGAUGCAGCCAUGCCGCGUGUAUGAAGAAGGCCUUCGGGUUGUAAAGUACUGUCAGCGGGGAGGCGUUACCCGCAGAAGAAGCACCGGCUAACUCCGUGCCAGCAGCCGCGGUAAUAC
This 406-nucleotide ribosomal RNA is filed under the name uncultured bacterium. RNAcentral describes it as "partial 16S ribosomal RNA". It matches the Rfam family "Bacterial small subunit ribosomal RNA", at positions 30 to 526 of the family's 1533-position model. The record is from RNAcentral.